GGGGAAUAUUGCGCAAUGGGGGAAACCCUGACGCAGCAACGCCGCGUGAGUGAAGAAGGCCUUAGGGUUGUAAAGCUCUGUCAUAUGGGAAGAUAAUGACGGUACCAUAAGAGGAAGCCACGGCUAACUACGUGCCAGCAGCCGCGGUAAUACGUAGGUGGCGAGCGUUGUCCGGAUUUACUGGACGUAAGGGAUGCGUAGGCGGAUAUUUAAGUGGGAUGUGAAAUCCCCGAGCUUAACUCGGGGGCUGCAUUCCAAACUGGAUAUCUAGAGUGUCGGAGGGGAAAGUGGAAUUCCUAGUGUAGCGGUGAAAUGCGUAGAGGUUAGGAAGAACACCAGUGGCGAAGGCGACUUUCUGGACGAUAACUGACGCUGAGGCAUGAAAGCGUGGGGAGCAAAC
This 400-nucleotide ribosomal RNA is filed under the name uncultured bacterium. RNAcentral's name for it is "bacterial SSU rRNA". It matches the Rfam family "Bacterial small subunit ribosomal RNA", at positions 356 to 773 of the family's 1533-position model. The record is from RNAcentral.